AUUGAACGCUGGCGGCAUGCCUUACACAUGCAAGUCGAACGGCAGCACGGGUGCUUGCACCUGGUGGCGAGUGGCGAACGGGAGAGUAAUACAUCGGAACAUGUCCUGUAGUGGGGGAUAGCCCGGCGAAAGCCGGAUUAAUACCGCAUACGAUCUACGGAUGAAAGCGGGGGACCUUCGGGCCUCGCGCUAUAGGGUUGGCCGAUGGCUGAUUAGCUAGUUGGUGGGGUAAAGGCCUACCAAGGCGACGAUCAGUAGCUGGUCUGAGAGGACGACCAGCCACACUGGGACUGAGACACGGCCCAGACUCCUACGGGAGGCAGCAGUGGGGAAUUUUGGACAAUGGGCGAAAGCCUGAUCCAGCAAUGCCGCGUGUGUGAAGAAGGCCUUCGGGUUGUAAAGCACUUUUGUCCGGAAAGAAAUCCUUGGCUCUAAUACAGUCGGGGGAUGACGGUACCGGAAGAAUAAGCACCGGCUAACUACGUG
RNAcentral lists this ribosomal RNA (486 nucleotides) under uncultured bacterium. Its description in RNAcentral is "partial 16S ribosomal RNA". It matches the Rfam family "Bacterial small subunit ribosomal RNA", at positions 30 to 507 of the family's 1533-position model. The record is from RNAcentral.